Molecule: ribosomal RNA, 397 nt
Filed under: uncultured bacterium
Lineage: Bacteria
Description: partial 16S ribosomal RNA
Rfam family: Bacterial small subunit ribosomal RNA
Source: RNAcentral
AUACGUAGGUGACAAGCGUUAUCCGGAUUUACUGGGCGUAAAGGGCGUGUAGGCGGUCUUGCAAGUCAGAAGUGAAAUUCCUGAGCUCAACUCGGGCGCUGCUUCUGAAACUGCAGGACUUGAGUGCUGGAGGGGAUAGCGGAAUUCCUAGUGGAGCGGUAAAAUGCGCAGAUAUUAGGAAGAACACCGGUGGCGAAGGCGGAGAACUGGACAUUAACUGACGGUGAGGCGCGAAAGCGUGGGGAGCAAACAGGAUUAGAUACCCGGGUAGUCCACGCCGUAAACGAUGAAUACUAGGUGUAGGGGGUAUCGACUCCCUCUGUGCCGCAGUUAACACAAUAAGUAUUCCGCCUGGGGAGUACGGCCGCAAGGUUGAAACUCAAAGGAAUUGGCGGGG